This 697-nucleotide small RNA is filed under the name Pongo abelii (Sumatran orangutan). RNAcentral's name for it is "retained intron". Lineage: Eukaryota; Metazoa; Chordata; Mammalia; Primates; Hominidae. The record is from RNAcentral.
AGCUUCUGGAGCGCUGGUGGCAGCCACUGCUGGACCCGUUGCGGGCCUGUCUGCCGCUGGGACCCCGGGCGCUGCCCAGUGGCUUCCGCCUUCACACAGACAUCCUCGGGUAGGGCUCGGAUGGAGGGAGUGGGUUGGGGGUCAUGUCCUCUUCCCCAGCCAUGACAUUCCCUUCCCUUUCCCAUAGGCUGCUGCUCCUCCACCUGGAACUGAAACGCUGCCUCUUCACCGUGGAGCCCUUGGGGGAUAAAGGUGACUGAGGACAGGGGCAGGGGCAGGAGAGGCGUGGGCCGGGGAGGGGCUCUGCAUCACGGCCUUUUCCUCCCAGCAGAGCCUUCACCAGAACAGCGCCGGCGCCUCCUCCGAAACUUCUAUACCCUGGUCACCUCCACGCACUUCCCACCAGGUCAGCGGAAGGCACAGUGCUCCCACUGCGCAGGCGGGGACACUGAGUCCCAGGUCGCACAAAGUGGGAGUAGGAGGUGGGGUUGGAGGAAGCGGAGGAACCCAGUAUGCACUGGGCCAUAGGGCAGUGGUUUUCCUUGAGAUCUGAGCAUUGAUGCAGAUGGGAAGGGAGGGGAAGGGAGGUCCCUGCCUGGCUUCAGAACCUCCUGGAUCGUAGUCAACAAGAGUUAACAUUGAGACCUCACCUCUUCCCAGUGACUUUACAUGUAAUGAAAGAAUGAAAUCACUUCAU